Molecule: ribosomal RNA, 474 nt
Filed under: Triticum aestivum (bread wheat)
Lineage: Eukaryota; Viridiplantae; Streptophyta; Magnoliopsida; Poales; Poaceae
Description: partial small subunit ribosomal RNA
Source: RNAcentral
AUGAAAGCGCUUUUCUGGAAUGUUAGAGGUUUAGGGGCUUGGGGGCGCCGGGACCAAAUCAAAGACGUCAUCAGGGGCGAUAAUAUUGAUCUGAUUGGACUGGUUGAGACCUUUAAAACCUCCUUCUCCCCUCAUGAGCUUUCUGCAGUUGCGGGUGCUGAUCGUUUUGACUCGAAUUUUCUUCCCUCCUCGGGCCACUCGGGUGGCAUUCUAAUUGGCUCUAAACGUGAUGUUUUUGACUUUGUAACCUUUGACCAUGGUAUUUUUUGGGCCAGUUCUGUUGUUUUCCACCGACAACUCAAUACACUCUGGGAAGUAAUGGUGGUUUACGGCCCGGAGGACCAUUCCCUUUCCCCUUUAUUCCUGGAUGAAAUCUCUAGUAAGGUUGAGUCUUGCACCCUCCCCCUCCUAAUUGGUGGUGAUUUUAACUUGCUGCGCUUUCCGACUGAUAAGAACACCAAUAACUUCUUCUAG